RNAcentral lists this ribosomal RNA (488 nucleotides) under uncultured bacterium. RNAcentral's name for it is "partial 16S ribosomal RNA". It matches the Rfam family "Bacterial small subunit ribosomal RNA", at positions 28 to 507 of the family's 1533-position model. The record is from RNAcentral.
GACGAACGCUGGCGGCGUGCUUAACACAUGCAAGUCGAACGGAAAGGCCCUGCUUUUGUGGGGUGCUCGAGUGGCGAACGGGUGAGUAACACAUGAGUAUCCUGCCCUUGACUUUGGGAUAUCUUCAGGAAACUGGGGCUAAUACCGGAUAGGAGCUCCUGCUGCAUGGUGGUGGUUGGAAAGUUUCGGCGGUGGGGGAUGUACUCGCGGGUUAUCAGCUUGUUGGUUGGGUAGUGGCUUACCAAGGCUUUGACGGGUAGCCCGCCUGAGAGGGUGAUCGGCGACAUGGGAACUGAGACGGCGACCAUAGUCCUGCGGUAGGCAGCAGUCGCGAACGGGAGGCAGCGGUGGAGAGUCUUGCACAACGGGGGGACGUGUGUUGCAACAAUCCUGGGAGCGGAAUGCCGGCUUACGGGGUAUGAACCGCUUUCGCCUGAGACGAAGCGUGAUUGACGGUAAUGGGUAAAGAAGCACCGGCUAACUACGUG